GUCAGAAAGAUCGAAUUAGGCCCAAAAAGUUUGUGCCGAGAUUUACAGAAGGGGAAGAAGAGGAAGGCGGAACGCUUAGGAGAGGCCAUUGUGGUUUCCCCUGCUGGAUUCCUUUCUGUGGUUGGAGGUCAAAGCCUUUCUUGCCUGCUGCUUCCAGGAACGCGUGGUGAGUGUCCCGGCGUGCUACACGGGAGGGUUUUAUUUUAUCUCUCUUGAAUGGAAUGGCAGUCAUCCAGCAGGCCUGGGUGCAUGUAUAAAUAGAGGGACACGUAAGCCCGCGUUUAAUAUCCAGAACAUAAACCAGCCUGCACUGCGUGUUACCCCGUCAUGUUUUGAUGAGAGGCUGCUGACAGCACCACAGACCAGGCCGUGGGGCCCAGCAAACCACCUAAUCCCACUGCUUUAUCCCAGGCAUCGAUGGGGCAGAUUUCCCUGCCAGGAACAGUUUCUUUCCAGCCACUAGCAGCUCUGAGUUUCUUUGGCUUGGCCUGCUUCUGUCGCCCAUUCCUCAUGACCCUUGCUCAGAGAGGCCAGGGUGAACAUGGGAAGGUGGAGAUGUAGAGCUAAACCCCAAAUCUUUCAUUUCAUUUUCCUUAAGGCAGAAGAUUUAGACUCGUUCACCUGUGACUCCCUGGGACCAUGGAGCUAAUGUCAAAAGAGCCCAUUGAAAGUUCGGCAUUUCCAGAUCUUCCGCCCGACUUCCUACCAUGUGCCGCAGGCCAGCAUCCCUUCCUGGCCUCUACAGGAUGAAACUCAGCGCUCAGGGGGGAGAGGAGGAUGGUCCCCACUCCACAUGCCUGCCAAGCUUGGUACUGAAUUUGAAGUCCUGGACCACUGAGUCAAAUAUGUCCAGGUUUGUACUUUCGUUCUCCCUAAUUCUCUCCAACGUGCUGUCCUGCAGCGAAU
This 906-nucleotide long non-coding RNA is filed under the name Ursus maritimus (polar bear). RNAcentral describes it as "lncRNA (ENSUMAG00000005932.1)". The record is from RNAcentral. Lineage: Eukaryota; Metazoa; Chordata; Mammalia; Carnivora; Ursidae.